GCUUUACACAUGCAAGUCGAACGGUAACGCGGGCUUCGGCCUGGCGACGAGUGGCGAACGGGUGAGUAGAACAUCGGAACGUAUCUGUUAUCUGGGGGAUAGCCCGGCGAAAGCCGGAUUAAUACCGCAUGAGCUCUUUGGAGGAAAGCGGGGGACUUUCGGGCCUCGCGCUGACAGAGCGGCCGAUGCCGGAUUAGCUAGUAGGUAGUGGUAAAGGCCUACCUAGGCGACAGAUCCGUAGCUGGUCUGAGAGUGAUGAUCAGCCACACUGGAACUGAGACACGGUCCAGACUCCUACGGGAGGCAGCAGUGGGGAAUUUGGACAAUGGGGGCAACCCUGAUCCAGCCAUGCCGCGUGCGGGAAGAAGGCCUUCGGGUUGUAAACCGCUUUCAUACGGAACGAAAUGGUGCGGGCUAAUACCGCGUAUUGAUGACGGUACCGUAAGAAGAAGCACCGGCUAACUACGUGCCAGCAGCCGCGGUAAAUACGUAGGGGUGCGAGCGUUAAUCGGGAAUUACUGGGCGUAAAGCGUGCGCAGGCGGACUCUUUUAAGACAGGUGUGACAAUUCCCCGGGCUUUAACCUGGGA
Molecule: ribosomal RNA, 589 nt
Filed under: uncultured bacterium
Lineage: Bacteria
Description: bacterial SSU rRNA
Rfam family: Bacterial small subunit ribosomal RNA
Source: RNAcentral